Molecule: ribosomal RNA, 460 nt
Filed under: uncultured bacterium
Lineage: Bacteria
Description: partial 16S ribosomal RNA
Rfam family: Bacterial small subunit ribosomal RNA
Source: RNAcentral
CCUACGGGUGGUUGCAGUGAGGAAUAUUGGUCAAUGGACGGAAGUCUGAACCAGCCAUGUCGCGUGCGGGAAGACGGCUCUAUGGGUUGUAAACUGCUUUUGUCCGAGGGUAAACCUGACUACGUGUAUUCAGCUGCAUGUACUGUGCGAAUACGGGCCGGCUAACUCCGUGCCGUCAGCCCCGGUAAUCCGGAGGUGUCAGGCGUUAUCCGGGUUUAUUGGGUUUAAAGGGGGGCGAGGCGGGCGGUUAAGUUAGAGGUGAAAUCCCGGGGCGCAAAUGCGGACACGAGUCUGAUACUGCUGGGCUAGAGAGCACAUGAGGUAGGCGGAAUGCGUGGUGUAGCGGUGAAAUGCAUAGAGAUCAUACAGAACACCGAUUGCGAAGGCAGCUUACCAGGGCACGUCUGACGCUGAGGCACGAAAGCGUGGGUAGCAAACAGGAUUAGAUACCCUGGUAGUC